Molecule: ribosomal RNA, 631 nt
Filed under: Anthaxia corinthia
Lineage: Eukaryota; Metazoa; Arthropoda; Insecta; Coleoptera; Buprestidae
Also listed under: 1 other name
Description: eukaryotic LSU rRNA
Rfam family: Eukaryotic large subunit ribosomal RNA
Source: RNAcentral
GGAGUCUAGCAUGUGCGCGAGUCAUUGGGACUAGCGAAACCUAAAGGCGAAAUGAAAGUGAAGGCGUGCCUUGCGCGCGCCGAGGGAGGAUAGGUCGCGCUCGUCGCGGCCUCGCACUCCCGGGGCGUUUCGUUCUCAUCGCGAGAAGAGGCGCACCCAGAGCGUACACGCUGGGACCCGAAAGAUGGUGAACUAUGCCUGGUCAGGACGAAGUCAGGGGAAACCCUGAUGGAGGUCCGUAGCGAUUCUGACGUGCAAAUCGAUCGUCGGAACUGGGUAUAGGGGCGAAAGACUAAUCGAACCAUCUAGUAGCUGGUUCCCUCCGAAGUUUCCCUCAGGAUAGCUGGCGCUCGCUUUGCGAGUCUCAUCCGGUAAAGCGAAUGAUUAGAGGCAUUGGGGUCGAAACGGCCUCAACCUAUUCUCAAACUUUAAAUGGGUGAGAACUCCGGCUUGCUUAAACGGUGAAGCCGCGAGUUUUUAUAAGGAUCAGAGUGCCAAGUGGGCCACUUUUGGUAAGCAGAACUGGCGCUGUGGGAUGAACCAAACGCAGAGUUAAAGCGCCCAAAUCGACGCUUAUGGGAUACCAUGAAAGGCGUUGGUAACUUAAGACAGCAGGACGGUGGCCAUGGAA